AUCAGUCAGUUAGUUGAGUUCUACUAUCAACCAGUUGCAUUCGAGUUGUUAUAACCAUUCAAUCGGGAGCAACUGGAACCUAGCAAUGUCGCAAGUCCAUUCUUUUUUCUCCAAUGACGAAGAAAAUAGGACAUCGGAUGCCAGCAAAACUGUAGGCCGCAUUCUUGGCGAAGUUGUUUUUAUUGGAUUCUUGUAUACUACGCUCCUUGGUUUGCUUGGAGCUUUUGUUGCCGGCUUCACUGACUGCACCGAUUUGAAUGGAAAACUUGGGUCUACUACAACGAACAUGACAACGCUUGUAACACGACGUACUUUCGGUCAACUUUUCCACAACUGUAAAAUGAAAAGUGUGAAGAGGACAGAGAAGGUUUCAUGAUAUUAUGUGCAUUUACCAUCAUCCUGUCUUUAUGUAUGAGUCUUUACGGAUGGCAAUGCGCAAAAGGAACUGAUCGGCGUCAUCAAUCUGUCCUCGAAAAAUUAUGCAAUACAUUCUGCUGGUCAGCUGGAGCUUCAGCAUUAUUCUUAUUCCUUUUAAUAGAAUCCAAAGACUUCUCCUUCUUAUUUUUUCAUUGUCUUUGUGCACAAAUGGCUUUUUGCUUGGCAGUUGCAUACUUUCGUCUGAUCACCUUAAUGCAAUUUAAUAGAGAAUUCGAAGGGUUUACUUUGUAUUAACUCGAAGUACAAACCCCUGUUAAUGAUGCAAAUGGAACAACAAAUUUAUACAGAAAUAAAAGCUCCAUAUUGUUGAAUUUAAUAGGUUAUGUGUUAGUGGUUGAACCAGUAAACAAAAUCUUACCAAAAGUUGAAAUGAUAUUAUUGUAAUCAAAAUUAUUGAUCAAAAUGUGUAGACUAGCCAUUCUAGGUGCAGACAAGAAUACGUGAACCGUUGUUCACGAACAGAGACAUGAUAACAGAUGGCGCUGCGGAGGCCCAUCAGUGAGCAGUACCAACGCCAUCUGUUAUCAUUUCUCUGUUCACAAAAAUAACAAAAAUAAAACCGUUAAGAAAAAUGUAUACGUUUAUCCAUGCAAUUUAUUCGACUCAAUAACGUUGUACAACUCAAUGGCGCAAUAGUUAACGCGUCUGAUUUCCUUUAAAGUAGCACAAGGGGUAUUCUAACCGUUUUAGAACUUUUUCAACUUUGGCAUUCAAUGAUCUUUCAAAUUUUCAGAGUUUUGAUAACAAAAUUUGUAGUGUCUUCUACCAAAAAUAAUGCAAACAAUUUCUUUAAUUAUCAAUUUUUAAGGAGAAAAAGUUGAUUAUUGUGUUUUCGCUGGUAAUUCUGACCACCAAAAUUAACUCAGCUAGUAAAGCUGACAAUUUGAACUGUCACAUCAAAAAAUUCAAAUUUAAAUGUUUUUCACAUUAAUCAUCUGACUUCACUUAAUUUAGUUGUUUUCAUUAAGAAAAUACUAAAAUAGCAAAACAUUGCAAUGGUCAGAAGUAUCAGCCUGGUCAGAAUACCCCUCCGCCACUUUACGAAAUUAUCAGUUGCUAGUGCGAAGCUUUGAAACUCAACCGCAAACAGAUUCGAACCGAUUGUCAGAUUUUUUAACAAAUUAGGAAAGCUGAUUUAAUCGGUUCAAACAAAGUGCAGAGCUUUUUACUACCACAUGCUCAUCUAGAUCAUUUUCAUUAUACGGUACUCGUCAGCAUAACCCCACU
Molecule: long non-coding RNA, 1665 nt
Organism: Bradysia coprophila
Lineage: Eukaryota; Metazoa; Arthropoda; Insecta; Diptera; Sciaridae
Source: RefSeq, a predicted model, not a curated record